GRGUGAACGCUGGCGGUAGGCCUAACACAUGCAAGUCGAACGGCAGCACAGGAGAGCUUGCUCUCUGGGUGGCGAGUGGCGGACGGGUGAGGAAUGCAUCGGAAUCUACUCUGUCGUGGGGGAUAACGUAGGGAAACUUACGCUAAUACCGCAUACGACCUACGGGUGAAAGCAGGGGAUCUUCGGACCUUGCGCGAUUGAAUGAGCCGAUGCCCGAUUAGCUAGUUGGCGGGGUAAGAGCCCACCAAGGCGACGAUCGGUAGCUGGUCUGAGAGGAUGAUCAGCCACACUGGAACUGAGACACGGUCCAGACUCCUACGGGAGGCAGCAGUGGGGAAUAUUGGACAAUGGGCGCAAGCCUGAUCCAGCCAUACCGCGUGGGUGAAGAAGGCCUUCGGGUUGUAAAGCCCUUUUGUUGGGAAAGAAAAGCAGUCGGUUAAUACCCGAUUGUUCUGACGGUACCCAAAGAAUAAGCACCGGCUAACUUCGU
RNAcentral lists this ribosomal RNA (490 nucleotides) under Stenotrophomonas acidaminiphila. RNAcentral describes it as "bacterial SSU rRNA". It matches the Rfam family "Bacterial small subunit ribosomal RNA", at positions 27 to 506 of the family's 1533-position model. The record is from RNAcentral. Lineage: Bacteria; Pseudomonadati; Pseudomonadota; Gammaproteobacteria; Lysobacterales; Lysobacteraceae.